Molecule: transfer RNA, 75 nt
Filed under: Elusimicrobia bacterium GWA2_64_40
Lineage: Bacteria; Pseudomonadati; Elusimicrobiota
Also listed under: 2 other names
Description: tRNA-Arg
Rfam family: tRNA
About the family: Transfer RNA (tRNA) molecules are approximately 80 nucleotides in length.
Source: RNAcentral
GCGCCCGUGGUGAAAUGGAUAUCACAGGAGCCUCCGAAGCUUCUAGUGCAGGUUCGAUUCCUGCCGGGCGCACCC